RNAcentral lists this ribosomal RNA (629 nucleotides) under uncultured bacterium. Its description in RNAcentral is "bacterial SSU rRNA". It matches the Rfam family "Bacterial small subunit ribosomal RNA", at positions 201 to 847 of the family's 1533-position model. The record is from RNAcentral.
UAAAAGAUUUAUCGGUUUGGGGUGGGCUCGCGUCCGAUUAGGUAGUUGGUGAGGUAACGGCCCACCAAGCCGACGAUCGGUAGCCGACCUGAGAGGGUGAUCGGCCACAUUGGGACUGAGACACGGCCCAAACUCCUACGGGAGGCAGCAGUGGGGAAUAUUGGGCAAUGGAGGAAACUCUGACCCAGCAACGCCGCGUGGAGGAAGAAGGUUUUCGGAUCGUAAACUCCUGUCCUUGGAGACGAGUAGAAGACGGUAUCCAAGGAGGAAGCCCCGGCUAACUACGUGCCAGCAGCCGCGGUAAUACGUAGGGGGCAAGCGUUGUCCGGAAUAGUUGGGCGUAAAGGGCGCGUAGGCGGCUCGGUAAGUCUGGAGUGAAAGUCCUGCUUUUAAGGUGGGAAUUGCUUUGGAUACUGUCGGGCUUGAGUGCAGGAGAGGUUAGUGGAAUUCCCAGUGUAGCGGUGAAAUGCGUAGAGAUUGGGAGGAACACCAGUGGCGAAGGCGACUAACUGGACUGUAACUGACGCUGAGGCGCGAAAGUGUGGGGAGCAAACAGGAUUAGAUACCCUGGUAGUCCACACUGUAAACGAUGAAUACUAGGUGUAGGGGGUAUCGACCCCUUCUGUGCC